CAAGUCGAGCGAACAGACGAGGAGCUUGCUCCUCUGACGUUAGCGGCGGACGGGUGAGUAACACGUGGAUAACCUACCUAUAAGACUGGGAUAACUUCGGGAAACCGGAGCUAAUACCGGAUAAUAUAUUGAACCGCAUGGUUCAAUAGUGAAAGACGGUUUUGCUGUCACUUAUAGAUGGAUCCGCGCCGCAUUAGCUAGUUGGUAAGGUAACGGCUUACCAAGGCAACGAUGCGUAGCCGACCUGAGAGGGUGAUCCGGCCACACUGGAACUGAGACACGGUCCAGACUCCUACGGGAGGCAGCAGUAGGGAAUCUUCCGCAAUGGGCGAAAGCCUGACGGAGCAACGCCGCGUGAGUGAUGAAGGUCUUCGGAUCGUAAAACUCUGUUAUUAGGGAAGAACAAAUGUGUAAGUAACUAUGCACGUCUUGACGGUACCUA
This 442-nucleotide ribosomal RNA is filed under the name Staphylococcus epidermidis. RNAcentral's name for it is "bacterial SSU rRNA". It matches the Rfam family "Bacterial small subunit ribosomal RNA", at positions 58 to 481 of the family's 1533-position model. The record is from RNAcentral. Lineage: Bacteria; Bacillati; Bacillota; Bacilli; Caryophanales; Staphylococcaceae.